Suricata suricatta (meerkat) is the source of this 3783-nucleotide long non-coding RNA. RefSeq lists it as uncharacterized. The record is from RefSeq and is a predicted model, not a curated record. The transcript is spliced from 6 exons. NCBI's taxonomy places the organism in Eukaryota, Metazoa, Chordata, Mammalia, Carnivora, Herpestidae.
GGACGGAACCGGCGUGUGGCGCUUCUUUAACUUGUUUGUAGCGGUUCUGCGCGUGCGCGCGCCCCCGCGGCUCGAGGGCGGUGGCUGGGCCGCUGGCAGUGCUGCGGAGACAGGGCGGUGGCUCCGGAGGCGGCAGGACAGUCAGGGCAGGCGUGAGAGCCCUCGGAACAGCCCGGCAGUGAAUUUCGUUCCUAUUUAUCCUGUGUGAAUCCUGUUGUAAUGGGACGUGCAAGCGGAGAAGUGAAGGCGGCACAUCCGGGCCCUUACCACCUGUGACGCUACGAUGAGGAAACGGCUCGUCAGUUGGCAGAAGGAGCUCAUCUCUCCUUUCAGGGCCUCCAGGGGAUCUGCUUUUGGCAGCUGGCUCUUUGGGCAAGACUGACGUUAUUUUCUCAGUGGCUUCUGUUCAAAACCACCCAAAGGAACCCAUCUUUCUCCUACUGUCAUUGGCAUAACAUUACAAGAACCAAUGUGGUAGCUUAUGUGAGUGUGUCCUGUGCUUUUAAAGUGCAUUUGUCACUUUGUCCCUGAGGGUUUGAGAAAUUCUUUAGAAGAAACAGAGACAGAAGAAGCAGCAACUCCAAGAAAAGGUCUUUCGAUGCCUGGUGUCCACCCUGCUCCUAAUGGGCAUCGUCCUCUGUGCUGUGAGCAGGGGCCCAGCGGGGGCUGGGCAUGGCGGGCCAGGAGGGGCCUCUUCAGUGCUGGGGAGACACUGCCAGGGUCUUGAAGAGCAGUGUCGACGUGCAGUUUGCCGAUGUAGCUGGUUGUGAAGAGGCCAAGUUGGAGAUUAUAGAGUGAAUUUCCUGAAGAAUCCCCAGGAGUGUCACGACGUAGGAGCCAAGAUUUCAAAGGAAGCGAGGCCAGGGGCACUUGGGAAGCCAGAGCAAGCAGGAGAGAGCACUGAACCAGACGCUCUUGGAGAUGGAUGUUCCGACUUUUCCUCAGAGUGAUUCGAGAUUGGUGCAACGUCUGCAUGGUGAUGGCAGUGUUCCGACCUGGACACUUUCAGUGGUCGCGUGGCAAGCUUCCAUCUUCAUUUUGGGGCUGCCCAGAGUACCCUGGAUUUGGUUAUUCAUUAGGACUCCCAGGACCCCAUGUGUAGCUGUACCCAUGACCAUGACCGGUGACAGACACAGCAGAAUCUGUGGAGGGGAGACUCUGGUCCAGGGGGGCUGGCUGCAGCUUCCGUGAGGAGGUGCCGACUUGCCUGGCAUCGAGCUGUGACGACAUGCGGGCGUGCGGUUGACCACGGUUUCCAGUGGGGGCUGGUCCUGUGGCACUCUGCCCAGUAUGUACCAGAAUUCCAGCCUCCCAGGUGGAAGGCAGGUGUGCAGCAAACCCACACAAAAACACUGUUAUGUUUGCACAGACAGUUUAGGCAUAGGGAGCCCCUCUUAUCAGGAGCAGGGGAGACCCUCCCCCAAACUCAGGUCCCAGACUCAGUCAGCUGUAAGAGCUUGUGAGGAUAACUUGUUAGGCUUACUGUGUUAGACUCUUUCUGCACAGGCCAAGGCAUUUCCAAAAGCUUUUGUUAUACUUCAUAUCCAACGGUGAUUCUAAUUAGAUUAUUACUCUGUCCUGAUACAUCGAGGGGCUAAUGGAAGAGAACAUUUGGGGGAAAGAGGGUGGGAACACCACCACUUUCUCUGUUGGGCUCCCCUGUUCUCUGCAGCCCUGUCUGCCCUUGACCAUUCUAGCUCCUGGGCCCUCUGUCUCUUUCUCUAAACAGAUAAAUAAACUUAAAAAAAAAAAGCUAAUUGUACCUGACCUUUGGGAUACUUCUGUCGUUGCUCCCUGGGUCCAGUCAGAUAACUGAGUGUGAGGCACCGGUACAGCAGGGACGGUGCCCCGAGUCCCAGGCUGUCCUUGUGGGUCAGCAGAGUGGCUCCUGAUGACCCUGCUCUGGCUCGCUGUAUGUCUCUUUCUUUGUUAGGGCCCUUGGCAUCAAGGGCAGAUCCUCUGUCUUCAAAGUCCACCCCUGCCCACUGAAGCUGGGCGGGGCCUUCCUAAGGACGCCUCGGCACGGAGGCUCAUGCCGCUCACUUUGGGCUUCAUGGGGGCCUGUUGGCCAGGCCGGUGUUGCUGCCUCGGCGUGUCACCUGUGAUUGGUGGGUGGCUUCUGGCUGUACUGUCCAGUCCUGGCAGGUGCCCACCUUUGUCUUUGGAACUUUGUUGAGAGACAUCCAAGACCUCAGAGAUGAAUAGCCCCAGAGCUGGUUUGUACCCAUCUGAAGUUCUAGUUUUGUACAGUUUCGGCUCGGUAAGUUUUUGCUGCAGAGACCUCCCUAGUGUGUGAGCACAGACCCCUACCAUCAGUAGUUGUGCUGCAUUGUACGGUCUUGGGCUAGAGCUCCCAACCUGGGGGCUUCCCUUGCUUUUCUGUUUCCUUUGUAAUUAGAACCCAAGGUCCUGUACUACGAAACUUGUUUCCCUACCAGGGUGGUAAGCCCUGGGAGUUUAGGGUUUUCCGUGGGGCUUUCUCUCUAGUCAUCCCCUCCUGAGCAGCCCUUGGGAGGGCUAGUGAUCACUGUGAUUACUGUGAUGAGCCUCGGGCCGCUGCCCCUGCCACCCCCGGAGCAUUCUGCCGUGAGCCUUGCCCCUCCCACCGUGGUGCCGCUGUCUGCCAUCUCCCUGUGCUCUGCCCGCUGCUGGCCGAGGGCUGGGUCAGGUCACACAGGGGAGUGUGUGUUUGGUGGCUGCAGGGUGAUGAGUGAGGCGUUCUCACCUGUCCAGGCUGGUCUGUUUCCUGCAAAGAAUGUGCUUUCUGUUCUUUCUCCCCGUGACUCCCAUGUCCAUUUACACACCAAAGUUAAGAAACUUGAAUACGCUUCCCAGACUCUAGUCUUCCCAGAUUUACAUUAGAGGCUGCCCUUCAGCACGGGUGACUCAGCGGGGUGGCCGAGGGCUCGCUGGCCUCAGCCACACAGGGGUCUUGUGGCCGCUGCCUGAUCGAACUGCCCUCCUCCCUGGUCUCAUGGAUCUGAGAGGCAGACCCAGCUUUUGUGAAUGUCGACAUCGCGGGGACAGAGCGUGGCCUCUCUGUCCUCACACACAGAAGGGGACAUGGGAAUUCUUGGAGUAAAAGGACUGGUGGUACAUUUUCAAAAGCCACAAAAAUAAGCACAAACUAUGUUGCUCCGUGGUUCUUAUUGUUGAGCCUUCCUCUCCACGUGUGUGCAGGCCCCUGUGUGGGAGAUCCAGGCUUUUUAACCUGGAUGUUCCUUGGGAACCUGACAUGUAAAGUUCUCUUUUACUGUUUUUGCUCAUUCUUUGCACUGUAAUGUAGUAAUGAAAGUGAAUGGAAAAAGAGCAUUUAAAAACUUAGCUAAUGACUCAACAAAAAUUACAAAGUAUGCAAAGAAACAGUAAGUGUGGUUCAUUCACAGGAAAAUGAAAUGGACAGAAACUGUCAGCAAGGGAGCACAGACAUUAGGGUUACUAGAAAAAUACUUAAUGUCAGCUGUUUUAAAGGUGUAGGCCCAUAGAGGCAAAGGGGACCAGGGAACUGUGUGUCUCAACAAAGAGAAUAUUAGUAAGGAAAUAGAAAUUAUAAGAAGUAACCAAAUAGAAAUUCUAGAGCAGAAAAGUACUAUGACUGAAAGGAAAAGUUCACCAGAGGGCUCAGUAGCAGAUGUGAACAGCAGAAGAAAAAAAGUCUUCUUGGAGAUAGGCCUAAUGGCAUUCCCUAGUCUGAGGAGCAGAAAGAAAGACGACUGAAGAAUGCACAGAACUUAGGGCCAGAUGGACACUAUAACAUGCAUAUUAUGGCAUUCCAGGGGGAGA